AUUGAACGCUGGCGGCAGGCCUAACACAUGCAAGUCGAGCGGAUGAAGGGAGCUUGCUCCUGGAUUCAGCGGCGGGCGGGUGAGUAAUGCCUAGGAAUCUGCCUGGUAGUGGGGGAUAACGUCCGGAAACGGGCGCUAAUACCGCAUACGUCCUGAGGGAGAAAGUGGGGGAUCUUCGGACCUCACGCUAUCAGAUGAGCCUAGGUCGGAUUAGCUAGUUGGUGGGGUAAAGGCCUACCAAGGCGACGAUCCGUAACUGGUCUGAGAGGAUGAUCAGUCACACUGGAACUGAGACACGGUCCAGACUCCUACGGGAGGCAGCAGUGGGGAAUAUUGGACAAAGGGCGAAAGCCUGAUCCAGCCAUGCCGCGUGUGUGAAGAAGGUCUUCGGAUUGUAAAGCACUUUAAGUUGGGAGGAAGGGCAGUAAGUUAAUACCUUGCUGUUUUGACGUUACCAAAAGAAUAAGCACCGGCUAACUUCGUG
RNAcentral lists this ribosomal RNA (484 nucleotides) under uncultured bacterium. RNAcentral's name for it is "partial 16S ribosomal RNA". It matches the Rfam family "Bacterial small subunit ribosomal RNA", at positions 30 to 507 of the family's 1533-position model. The record is from RNAcentral.